UACGUAGGGAGCAAGCGUUGUCCGGAAUCAUUGGGCGUAAAGCGCGCGUAGGUGGCCCCAUAAGUCCGCUGUGAAAGUCACAGGCUCAACCUUUGAAAGCCGGUGGAUACUGUGGGACUAGAGUACGGAAGAGGCGAGUGGAAUUCCUGGUGUAGCGGUGGAAUGCGCAGAUAUCAGGAGGAACACCGGUGGCGAAGGCGGGUCUCUGGGCCGAUACUGACGCUGAGGAGCGAAAGCGUGGGGAGCGAACAGG
This 253-nucleotide ribosomal RNA is filed under the name uncultured bacterium. RNAcentral's name for it is "partial 16S ribosomal RNA". It matches the Rfam family "Bacterial small subunit ribosomal RNA", at positions 524 to 776 of the family's 1533-position model. The record is from RNAcentral.